RNAcentral lists this ribosomal RNA (509 nucleotides) under Indonaucoris minutus. Its description in RNAcentral is "partial large subunit ribosomal RNA". It matches the Rfam family "Eukaryotic large subunit ribosomal RNA", at positions 670 to 1139 of the family's 3401-position model. Lineage: Eukaryota; Metazoa; Arthropoda; Insecta; Hemiptera; Naucoridae. The record is from RNAcentral.
GAAGUCUAACAUGUUCGCGAGUCAUUGGGUGAUAAAACCUAAAGGCGGAAUGAAAGUGAAGGAAGCUUUGCUUUCUGAGGGAGGAUGGGGACGACUGCCCAAAGGGCGCUCCCCCGCACUCCCGGGGCGUCUCAUUCUCACUGCGAGAAGAGGCGCACCCAGAGCGUACACGUUAGGACCCGAAAGAUGGUGAACUAUGCCUGGUCAGGACGAAGCCAGGGGAAACCCUGGUGGAGGUCCGUAGCGAUUCUGACGUGCAAAUCGAUCGUCAGAGCUGGGUAUAGGGGCGAAAGACUAAUCGAACCAUCUAGUAGCUGGUUCCUUCCGAAGUUUCCCUCAGGAUAGCUGGUGCCCGUGUGAGACGAGUCUCAUCCGGUAAAGCGAAUGAUUAGAGGCCUUGGGGCCGAAACGACCUCAACCUAUUCUCAAACUUUAAAUAGAUGAGAACUCCGGCUUGCUUGAAAGUGAAGCCGGAGAUUCGGAUCAGGGUGCCCAGUGGGCCAAUUUUG